Molecule: transfer RNA, 89 nt
Filed under: Dialister invisus
Lineage: Bacteria; Bacillati; Bacillota; Negativicutes; Veillonellales; Veillonellaceae
Also listed under: 5 other names
Description: tRNA-Ser
Rfam family: tRNA
About the family: Transfer RNA (tRNA) molecules are approximately 80 nucleotides in length. Their secondary structure includes four short double-helical elements and three loops (D, anti-codon, and T loops). Further hydrogen bonds mediate the characteristic L-shaped molecular structure. tRNAs have two regions of fundamental functional importance: the anti-codon, which is responsible for specific mRNA codon recognition, and the 3' end, to which the tRNAs corresponding amino acid is attached (by aminoacyl-tRNA synthetases). tRNAs cope with the degeneracy of the genetic code in two manners: having more than one tRNA (with a specific anti-codon) for a particular amino acid; and 'wobble' base-pairing, i.e. permitting non-standard base-pairing at the 3rd anti-codon position.
Source: RNAcentral
GGAGCGGUAUCGAAGUGGUCAUAACGAGGCUGACUCGAAAUCAGUUGUACAGCAAUGUACCGUGGGUUCGAAUCCCACCCGCUCCGCCA